CUCUUGAGAGCGGCGGACGGGUGAGUAAUGCCUAGGAAUCUGCCUGGUAGUGGGGGAUAACGUUCGGAAACGGACGCUAAUACCGCAUACGUCCUACGGGAGAAAGCAGGGGACCUUCGGGCCUUGCGCUAUCAGAUGAGCCUAGGUCGGAUUAGCUAGUUGGUGAGGUAAUGGCUCACCAAGGCGACGAUCCGUAACUGGUCUGAGAGGAUGAUCAGUCACACUGGAACUGAGACACGGUCCAGACUCCUACGGGAGGCAGCAGUGGGGAAUAUUGGACAAUGGGCGAAAGCCUGAUCCAGCCAUGCCGCGUGUGUGAAGAAGGUCUUCGGAUUGUAAAGCACUUUAAGUUGGGAGGAAGGGCAGUUACCUAAUACGUGAUUGUUUUGACGUUACCGACAGAAUAAGCACCGGCUAACUCUGUGCCAGCAGCCGCGGUAAUACAGAGGGUGCAAGCGUUAAUCGGAAUUACUGGGCGUAAAGCGCGCGUAGGUGGUUUGUUAAGUUGGAUGUGAAAUCCCCGGGCUCAACCUGGGAACUGCAUUCAAAACUGACUGACUAGAGUAUGGUAGAGGGUGGUGGAAUUUCCUGUGUAGCGGUGAAAUGCGUAGAUAUAGGAAGGAACACCAGUGGCGAAGGCGACCACCUGG
RNAcentral lists this ribosomal RNA (650 nucleotides) under Pseudomonas sp. AE2B 261. Its description in RNAcentral is "bacterial SSU rRNA". It matches the Rfam family "Bacterial small subunit ribosomal RNA", at positions 86 to 732 of the family's 1533-position model. Lineage: Bacteria; Pseudomonadati; Pseudomonadota; Gammaproteobacteria; Pseudomonadales; Pseudomonadaceae. The record is from RNAcentral.